Molecule: long non-coding RNA, 975 nt
Organism: Neopelma chrysocephalum (saffron-crested tyrant-manakin)
Lineage: Eukaryota; Metazoa; Chordata; Aves; Passeriformes; Pipridae
Exons: 3
Source: RefSeq, a predicted model, not a curated record
AUAACUUCUUGCCUUUGCCUGCCAUUAUUCCAUGGCUGAUCUAAUAUUCUGGGCCUUGAUUUUACUUGUUCCUCUGGGGGAGAUAUAGAGGGAGUUGCUUCGUUUGGCCUGAAGAAACAUUUGGAGACAUUAAAGAUGCUAAAAUCCAGAUUCAGCCCAAAAUAUAAAUGUGCCUAAAUCAAGGAACAAAAAACUUUCAGUUAGGGACGUGUAUCAACAUCCAUAGCUAAUCACUUGAGACUCUCCAAGUCCCACUCUGGAGGUAGCUGUGGAAAAAGUGCCUGCAGCUUCUAGCAGGGCAGUGGAAACAAGGGUAAAUGAGAAGGAAUGCAAUAGGAAUAGGCUUGGGGCGCCAUGGAGAGGUGGCCUUACUCCUGGGGGUAUGAGCAAGACACCCUGUCACCCUGCCUCUCUGGUUAAAGGUUUGCCUUUGCUCUUUCCACAGUACCUGCAGGGUGUUACAUUCCUGCCUCCCUGACAGCUGUUUUGUCUCACAGCAUUUUCAAAUGCACUGGAGAUGAUUUUCUCUUGGAUUGCUCCUGAUGUCAAGCUGUGAGUCAUGGACCACUCCACGAGUGGUGAAGGACAUCCCCGAUCUGUGGCACUGUGGCAGCUUGGUGAAGACCCAAAAGAAAAAGAGCCUGGCUGUAGAACUGAACCCUUAAAACCAACUAAUUUCUUUGAAGGGACUUAUUCGGAAGAAAGUUAAUAAAAACUGCAUGGAAAAACCAGCAUCACAGCUAUUUUUUUUUUUCUGCUUGAAAUUCCUACAGGGAAGUUAGCUGAAUGCAAAAAGUAUGGAGAAAGAGAGAAACAUUCCAUUGGUCCUUAAAGCCCAAAGGAGUGAUUCCUUCAGUGCUGCCAUUCCAAUGGAGAUUGCAACAAGGUCUCCUUCAAUACCAGUUGCUGCACUGGUGCAGAUCCUCUGGCACCAAUUCCUGUCCCUGGGAGUUGUCCCAGCUUGAUGUCUGCAAG